Molecule: ribosomal RNA, 253 nt
Filed under: uncultured bacterium
Lineage: Bacteria
Description: partial 16S ribosomal RNA
Rfam family: Bacterial small subunit ribosomal RNA
Source: RNAcentral
UACGUAGGGUGCAAGCGUUGUCCGGAAUUAUUGGGCGUAAAGAGCUCGUAGGCGGUUUGUCGCGUCUGCUGUGAAAACUCGGGGCUUAACCCCGGGCCUGCAGUGGGUACGGGCAGACUAGAGUGCGGUAGGGGAGACUGGAAUUCCUGGUGUAGCGGUGAAAUGCGCAGAUAUCAGGAGGAACACCGGUAGCGAAGGCGGGUCUCUGGGCCGUAACUGACGCUGAGGAGCGAAAGCGUGGGGAGCGAACAGG